RNAcentral lists this transfer RNA (68 nucleotides) under Lonchophylla robusta. Its description in RNAcentral is "tRNA-Trp". Lineage: Eukaryota; Metazoa; Chordata; Mammalia; Chiroptera; Phyllostomidae. The record is from RNAcentral.
AGAGGCUUAGGUUAACCAAGACCGAGGGCCUUCAAAGCCCUAAGUAAAUAGUGACUAUUUAGCCCCUG